GAUGAACGCUGGCGGCGUGCCUAAUACAUGCAAGUCGAGCGGAAACAGGGAGAGCUUGCUCUCCGCUGUCGAGCGGCGGACGGCUGAGUAACACGUAGGAACAUACCCCAAAGUGAGGGAUAACUGCUCGAAAGAGUAGCUAAUACCGCAUGUUGUCUAAGGAUUAAAGCUUCGGCGCUUUGGGAAUGGCCUGCGUUCGAUUAGCUAGAUGGUGAGGUAAAGGCUUACCAUGGCGACGAUCGAUAGCUGGUCUGAGAGGAUGAUCAGCCAGACUGGGACUGAGACACGGCCCAGACUCCUACGGGAGGCAGCAGUAGGGAAUUUUCCACAAUGGGCGAAAGCCUGAUGGAGCAACGCCGCGUGCAUGAUGAAUGCCUUAGGGUUGUAAACUGCUUUUAUAUGUGACGAUUAUGACGGUAGCAUGUGAAUAAGGAUCGGCUAACUCCGUGCCAGCCGCCGCAGUAA
RNAcentral lists this ribosomal RNA (465 nucleotides) under uncultured bacterium. RNAcentral describes it as "partial 16S ribosomal RNA". It matches the Rfam family "Bacterial small subunit ribosomal RNA", at positions 28 to 523 of the family's 1533-position model. The record is from RNAcentral.